UGCGUAGGCGGCUUGGUAAGUCAGAUGUGAAAUUCCGGGGCUCAACCGCGGAACUGCAUUUGAUACUGCCAGGCUAGAGUACUGGAGAGGAAACUGGAAUUCACGGUGUAGCAGUGAAAUGCGUAGAUAUCGUGAGGAAGGCCAGUGGCGAAGGCGAGUCUCUGGACAGUAACUGACGCUGAGGCACGAAGGCUAGGGGAGCAAACG
Molecule: ribosomal RNA, 207 nt
Filed under: uncultured bacterium
Lineage: Bacteria
Description: partial 16S ribosomal RNA
Rfam family: Bacterial small subunit ribosomal RNA
Source: RNAcentral